GCAAGAACUUGAGCCCAGGAGAGCAGUCCUCUCUUUGUUCUCCUCUGCGUUCUUCUGACUUACCCACAGGUACGUCGGAUGGAUGGUUCACUAGGAUUCUUUGGUCUUGAGUGAACCUUGAGGGCCUGACCCUCCUUCCUGUCUAAUCGUCAGGUCCACCGCCCUGACCCUUGGCUCCUUGGGCCUCUGAGCAGGCACAAAGCCCUGGAUGCUCUCCCAGUGCUACAGGAAUCAGCUAUCAGUGGCUCGCAGCUGGGAUCCCAGCACUCAGCAUGUGGAAGCAGGAGAUUCAUAAAUUCAAGAUCAUUUUUGGCUAUACAGUAAAACAGAAUCCAUGGGUUUUAGGACAUAACGUUGAUGGAGCUCUUGGACUGCUUCCUAACAUUGAUGAGACACAGAAAGUGAGUCUGUAGGAUGAAACAAGAGCUUCAGACAACCAUGGCUUCAAAGGAAAACACAGUUGAGCUGUAAACUACUCCCUCAAGAUUUUACAAGGGAAAUGAAGAGGAACCAUAAAAAGAUAAGAGAAAUCCCGGCACAUUCCUUGGGCAACAGAAAGUGUUGUCCAAACAAGCACUCAGCAGGAAAUGGUAUUUCUGCUCAUCUUGCACUUAGAAAGAUGUUAUCAAUUUUCGGGUGACAAAAGUCAUUGAAGGUGGUUACAUUUGUAUGUUUGUCCUAGUAGGAAAGAUUUCUUCUUCUUUUGCCUCUAUUACAGUUUUGUUUCAAGUUCA
Molecule: long non-coding RNA, 734 nt
Organism: Mus musculus (house mouse)
Lineage: Eukaryota; Metazoa; Chordata; Mammalia; Rodentia; Muridae
Product: predicted gene, 30145
Exons: 5
Source: RefSeq, a predicted model, not a curated record